UACGGAAGGGGCAAGCGUUGUUCGGAAUCAUUGGGCGUAAAGGGCGCGUAGGUGGUUCUGUAUGUCUACCGUGAAAGCGUACGGCUCAACCGUAUUUUGUCGGUAGAAACUGCAGGACUUGAGGCUGGGAGGGGCUGGUGGAAUUCCCUGUGUAGCGGUGAAAUGCGUAGAGAUGGGGGAGAACACUCGUGGCGAAGGCGGCCAGCUAGACCAGUUCUGACACUGAGGCGCGAAAGCUAGGGGAGCAAACGGG
This 253-nucleotide ribosomal RNA is filed under the name uncultured bacterium. RNAcentral describes it as "partial 16S ribosomal RNA". It matches the Rfam family "Bacterial small subunit ribosomal RNA", at positions 524 to 776 of the family's 1533-position model. The record is from RNAcentral.